CAGUAGCCGCGGUAAUACGUAGGGUGCAAGCGUUAAUCGGAAUUACUGGGCGUAAAGCGUGCGCAGGCGGUUUGUUAAGACAGAUGUGAAAUCCCCGGGCUCAACCUGGGAACUGCAUUUGUGACUGGCAAGCUAGAGUAUGGCAGAGGGGGGUGGAAUUCCGCGUGUAGCAGUGAAAUGCGUAGAUAUGCGGAGGAACACCGAUGGCGAAGGCGACUAUCUGGGCCAACACUGACACUGAGGCACGAAAGCGUGGGGAGCAAACAGGAUUAGAUACCCCUGUAGUCCCUGUCUCUUAUAC
RNAcentral lists this ribosomal RNA (301 nucleotides) under uncultured bacterium. RNAcentral's name for it is "partial 16S ribosomal RNA". It matches the Rfam family "Bacterial small subunit ribosomal RNA", at positions 509 to 807 of the family's 1533-position model. The record is from RNAcentral.